Molecule: ribosomal RNA, 459 nt
Filed under: uncultured bacterium
Lineage: Bacteria
Description: partial 16S ribosomal RNA
Rfam family: Bacterial small subunit ribosomal RNA
Source: RNAcentral
CUACGGGACGCAGCAGUGAGGAAUAUUGGGCAAUGGGGGCAACCCUGACCCAGCCAUGCCGCGUGCAGGAAGACGGCCCUAUGGGUUGUAAACUGCUUUUGUACGGGAAGAACCCCAUCUACGAGUAGGUGGCUGACGGUACCGUAAGAAUAAGCAUCGGCUAACUCCGUGCCAGCAGCCGCGGUAAUACGGAGGAUGCAAGCGUUAUCCGGAUUCAUUGGGUUUAAAGGGUGCGUAGGCGGGUUGAUAAGUCAGUGGUGAAAUCUUGCAGCUUAACUGUAAAACUGCCAUUGAUACUGUCAGCCUUGAGUACAGUUGAGGUAGGCGGAAUGUGUAAUGUAGCGGUGAAAUGCUUAGAUAUUACACAGAACACCGAUUGCGUAGGCAGCUUGCUAAGCUGUUACUGACGCUGAGGCACGAAAGCGUGGGGAUCAAACAGGAUUAGAUACCCCCGUAGUC